This is a long non-coding RNA of Lycium barbarum (goji berry), 555 nucleotides long. RefSeq lists it as uncharacterized. The record is from RefSeq and is a predicted model, not a curated record. NCBI's taxonomy places the organism in Eukaryota, Viridiplantae, Streptophyta, Magnoliopsida, Solanales, Solanaceae. The transcript is spliced from 4 exons.
CAUACUAGAAUAGUAGAUGUAUUAGGGUGAAAGAAUUAUUGGCUUGCAUAUGAAUCCAUUGCACGAAAAGAAAAAAGAAAAAAAAGGCUGCUCACGUUAGAAGAAUGCGUUGAAACAUCAAGUUUUAGACUUCAGAUUUUGAUCGUUCAGAGGCUCUACGCAAAGGGAAGACAUUAGUUUGAUUGUUCGUGGCACCCGCUCGGCAUUGAGAUUUUGAUCGUUCAGAGGCUCUACGCAAAGGGAAGACAUUAGUUUGAUUGUUCGUGGCACCCGCUCGGCAUUGAGAGUACUAUCCAGGCUCCAGUUCUACACCCCGUGGCUGACACGCGAGGGUGACAUCUUUCAGUCAUUCAGGGUGAGCUACUUGGUCAUCCGUGGCCCCUGAAGAACCUCCUCUAUUUAUUUCUGUUUUUGUAUUCGACAGACAAUAUGUAGCCUUCGGGUAUUUUCAGACUUAUAUUCCGUACUAUGUUAGCGCUCUUGUACCUUUUGACAAGAUUUUUGGGUUGUCGUGACAUUUCUAGUUAUGAUAAGUAUUUAAGACUUGAUAACUUA